Molecule: ribosomal RNA, 365 nt
Filed under: uncultured bacterium
Lineage: Bacteria
Description: bacterial SSU rRNA
Rfam family: Bacterial small subunit ribosomal RNA
Source: RNAcentral
GACGAACGCUGGCGGCGUGCCUAAUACAUGCAAGUCGAACGAAGCUUUCUUUCACCGAAUGCUUGCAUUCACCGAAAGAAGCUUAGUGGCGAACGGGUGAGUAACACGUAGGCAACCUGCCCAAAAGAGGGGGAUAACACUUGGAAACAGGUGCUAAUACCGCAUAACCAUGAACACCGCAUGAUGUUCAUGUAAAAGACGGCUUUUGCUGUCACUUUGGAUGGGCCUGCGGCGUAUUAACUUGUUGGUGGGGUAACGGCCUACCAAGGUGAUGAUACGUAGCCGAACUGAGAGGUUGAUCGGCCACAUUGGGACUGAGACACGGCCCAAACUCCUACGGGAGGCAGCAGUAGGGAAUCUUCCAC